UACGUAGGCAGCGAGCGUUGUUCGGAGUUACUGGGCGUAAAGAGCUCGUAGGCGGUUUGUCGCGUCGAAUGUGAAAACCCGGGGCUCAACUCCGGGCCUGCAUUCGAUACGGGCAGACUAGAGUUCGGUAGGGGAGACUGGAAUUCCUGGUGUAGCGGUGAAAUGCGCAGAUAUCAGGAGGAACACCGGUGGCGAAGGCGGGUCUCUGGGCCGAUACUGACGCUGAGGAGCGAAAGCGUGGGGAGCGAACAGG
This 253-nucleotide ribosomal RNA is filed under the name uncultured bacterium. RNAcentral describes it as "partial 16S ribosomal RNA". It matches the Rfam family "Bacterial small subunit ribosomal RNA", at positions 524 to 776 of the family's 1533-position model. The record is from RNAcentral.